CCUACGGGUGGCAGCAGUGAGGAAUAUUGGUCAAUGGGCGAGAGCCUGAACCAGCCAAGUCGCGUGAGGGAGUACUGCCCUAUGGGUUGUAAACCUCUUUUGUCGGGGAGCAAAAGCCGGACGUGUCCGGCUGUGAGAGUACCCGAAGAAAAAGCAUCGGCUAACUCCGUGCCAGCAGCCGCGGUAAUACGGAGGAUGCGAGCUUUAUACGGAUUUAUUGGGGUUAAUGGGUGCGCAGGCGGAAUUUUAAGGCAGCGUUCAAAUCGUGGGGCUCAACCCCGUCCAGCCGUUGAAACUGGGGGUCUUGAGUGUGCGAGAGGUAUGCGGAAUGCGUGGUGUAGCGGUGAAAUGCAUAGAUAUCACGAAGAACCCCGAUUGCGAAGGCAGCAUACCGGUGCACAACUGACGCUCAGGCACGAAAGCGUGGGUAUCGAACAGGAUUAGAUACCCUUGUAGUC
Molecule: ribosomal RNA, 458 nt
Filed under: uncultured bacterium
Lineage: Bacteria
Description: partial 16S ribosomal RNA
Rfam family: Bacterial small subunit ribosomal RNA
Source: RNAcentral